Molecule: ribosomal RNA, 445 nt
Filed under: uncultured bacterium
Lineage: Bacteria
Description: bacterial SSU rRNA
Rfam family: Bacterial small subunit ribosomal RNA
Source: RNAcentral
CACCAGACUCCACGGGAGGCAGCAGUGGGGAAUAUUGCACAAUGGGGGAAACCCUGAUGCAGCGACGCCGCGUGAGUGAGGAAGUAUUUCGGUAUGUAAAGCUCUAUCAGCAGGGAAGAAAAUGACGGUACCUGACUAAGAAGCCCCGGCUAACUACGUGCCAGCAGCCGCGGUAAUACGUAGGGGGCAAGCGUUAUCCGGAUUUACUGGGCGUAAAGGGGGCGCAGACGGCGAUGCAAGCCAGGAGUGAAAGCCCGGGGCCCAACCCCGGGACUGCUCUUGGAACUGCGUGGCUGGAGUGCAGGAGGGGCAGGCGGAAUUCCUGGUGUAGCGGUGAAAUGCGUAGAUAUCAGGAGGAACACCAGUGGCGAAGGCGGCUUGCUGGACUGUAACUGACGUUGAGGCUCGAAAGCGUGGGGAGCAAACAGGAUUAGAUACCCCGGUA